CAGUCGCCGCGGUAAUACGAAGGGUGCAAGCGUUACUCGGAAUUACUGGGCGUAAAGCGUGCGUAGGUGGUUGUUUAAGUCUGCUGUGAAAGCCCUGGGCUCAACCUGGGAAUUGCAGUGGAUACUGGGCGACUAGAGUAAGGUAGAGGAUAGUGGAAUUUCCGGUGUAGCAGUGAAAUGCGUAGAGAUCGGAAGGAACAUCUGUGGCGAAGGCGACUAUCUGGGCCAUUACUGACACUGAGGCACGAAAGCGUGGGGAGCAAACAGGAUUAGAUACCCCCGUAGUCCCUGUCUCUUAUAC
RNAcentral lists this ribosomal RNA (301 nucleotides) under uncultured bacterium. RNAcentral describes it as "partial 16S ribosomal RNA". It matches the Rfam family "Bacterial small subunit ribosomal RNA", at positions 509 to 807 of the family's 1533-position model. The record is from RNAcentral.